GCCACGGUCCUUAGAAGGUGCCAGGCCUGUGGGAUGGUUGCGGUGUCCGGGACGACCUCUCCUUGGAGUCGGGUUGCUUGAGAGUGCAGCCCUAAGCAGGUGGUAAACUCCAUCUAAGGCUAAAUACAACCACGAGACCGAUAGCAAACAAGUACCGUGAGGGAAAGUUGAAAAGAACUUUGAAGAGAGAGUUCAAGAGUACGUGAAACCGUUCAGGGGUAAACGGGUGGAGCCCUAAAGGUCGAAAGGGGAGAUUCAGUGUUCCGUCCACUGGCCGCCCGCCGCCGUUGGGUAAACUCUCGCUCCCGGCUUGCCGGUUCUUGCGAGAGGCCCUCGGUGGGGGCUUGCGCGCCGGUGGGGUUGCGCACUUCUCCCCCAGUAGCACGCCGCGACCCGUUGGGUGUCCGCCGAAAGCCCGGGGGCGAGCCCGCGAUCCUCUUCGGAGGUUUGCGGAGUCCCGGUGUCUAGGUCGGACUGCCCGACGGUCUAGAAAAACGGAAAAGGCCCGCGAGCCAGACUUCGGUCUAGCCCGCGCUCGUGCCUCGUGCGAGCGUCCUGUCGCGUGUCGUUGUGCGGACUUGUCCGCCGCGGCCCGACCGGCGUUGUCGGCGCGGGGAUUUCUCGAGCAGUGGCCUGCUCCCGUCCGCGGCGGUAACACAGGGCGGCCCACCCGGCCCGUCUUGAAACACGGACCAAGGAGUCUAACAUGUGCGCGAGUCAUUGGGUCCCACUACACCCAAAGGCGUAUUGAACGAAAAGGCCGUCCUUCGCGUCGGUUGAGGGAAGAUGGGGGUCCGCUCGCGGGCUCCCCGCAUUCCCGGGGCGUCUCGUGCUACCGCCGCUCGUCGGCGGAAGUUGAGGCGCACCCAGAGCGCACACGUUGGUACCCGAAAGAUGGUGAACUAUGCCUGGCCAGGACGAAGCCAGGGGAAACCCUGGUGGAGGUCCGUAGCGAUUCUGACGUGCAAAUCGAUCGUCAGAGCUGGGUAUAGGGGCGAAAGACUAAUCGAACCAUCUAGUAGCUGGUUCCCUCCGAAGUUUCCCUCAGGAUAGCUGGCGUUCGGAGAUUCGAGUCCCAUGCGGUAAAGCGAAUGAUUAGAGGCCAUGGGGUCGAAACGACCUCAACCUAUUCUCAAACUCUAAAUGCGUGGGAUCCGCUGCUUGUUUGAACGUGAAGCAGCGGCCUGUCGGAUCGGAAUGCCCAGUGGGGCCACUUUUGGUAAGCAGAACUGGGCGCUGGGGGAUGAACCAAACGCCGGGUUAAGGCGCCCGAAUCACGCCUCAUGUGAAAACCAUGAAAGGUGUUGGUUGCUUAAGACAGCAGGACGGUGGGCAUGGAAGUCGGAAUUCGCUAAGGAGUGUGUAACACUCACCUGCCGAAGCAACUAGCCCUGAAAAUGGAUGGCGCUGAAGCGUCUUGCCUAUACCCGGCCGCCGGCGGCAGAAGGCGAGCGCCCUCGGGCGGUCGCUGCGAAGCCCCGGUGAGUAGGAGGGUCGCGACGGUGAGCGCAGAAGGGUCUGGGCGUGAGCCUGCCUGGAGCCGCCGUCGGUGCAGAUCUUGGUGGUAGUAGCAAAUACUCCAGCGAGGCCCUGGAGGACCGAUGUGGAGAAGGGUUCCGUGUGAACAGCCGUUGCACACGGGUCAGUCGAUCCUAAGCCCUAGGAGAAAUCCGAUGUUGAUGGUCGCGGGAUGUACCUUUGCUCCGGCUUACGCUCGAAAGGAACGAAAGGACUAACCUAGUACGCGAAUCUCGGCACCGAGGUGUGCGAGAAAGUCUUACGGGUCGUGGUUGUUCGCUCUCAGCGCUCUCUCGUCCCCGGACAAAAAGGUUUUUUAGUAACUCGCUCGGCUCUCUGUGGUGUCGACUCGUGAUAUUUUCCUCUUGCAACUCGCUAAAGAGGAAACCAUGUCGCGAUCGCACUCAGUCUCACCAGCGACGAAAGAAUUCCAGUCCGGUGUGGCGGUGUAGUUUGCGCGAGGCAAGCGGGCACCGACCCUGACUCUCUCGAUACUUCGCGCUCGCCUUUUCGCCGAAAAGCCAAAGUUCUGGAGUAGGCGUAAUCUAAUGCCGGCAGGCGCAUAUUAACCCCGUCCGUCGGGCGAAAGGGAAUCCGGUUCCUAUUCCGGAACCCGGUUGCGGAACCGCACUCACGAUCCUCGUAUUGACACGGUAACGUGAAUGAGCCCAGAGAUGCCGCCUGGAGCCCCGGGAAGAGUUUUCUUUUCUGCCUGAGCGUUCGGGUUCCAUGGAAUCCUCUCGUAGGGAGAUAUGGAAUGGAACGCGAAGAGCACCGCAGUUGCUGCGGUGUCCGGGGAGUCCCGCCGGCCCUUGA
RNAcentral lists this ribosomal RNA (2334 nucleotides) under Heptagenia sp. BYU IGCEP018. Its description in RNAcentral is "partial 28S ribosomal RNA". It matches the Rfam family "Eukaryotic large subunit ribosomal RNA", at positions 195 to 1808 of the family's 3401-position model. Lineage: Eukaryota; Metazoa; Arthropoda; Insecta; Ephemeroptera; Heptageniidae. The record is from RNAcentral.